UACGUAGGGAGCAAGCGUUGUCCGGAAUCAUUGGGCGUAAAGCGCGCGUAGGCGGCCCCGUAAGUCCGCUGUGAAAGUCCAAGGCUCAACCUUUGAAAGCCGGUGGAUACUGUGGGGCUAGAGUCCGGAAGAGGCGAGUGGAAUUCCUGGUGUAGCGGUGGAAUGCGCAGAUAUCAGGAGGAACACCAAUAGCGAAGGCAGCUCGCUGGGACGGUACUGACGCUAAGGCGCGAAAGCGUGGGGAGCGAACAGG
Molecule: ribosomal RNA, 253 nt
Filed under: uncultured bacterium
Lineage: Bacteria
Description: partial 16S ribosomal RNA
Rfam family: Bacterial small subunit ribosomal RNA
Source: RNAcentral